AAAUUGAAGAGUUUGAUCAUGGCUCAGAUUGAACGCUGGCGGCAGGCCUAACACAUGCAAGUCGAGCGGAAACGAGUUAUCUGAACCUUCGGGGGACGAUAACGGCGUCGAGCGGCGGACGGGUGAGUAAUGCCUAGGAAAUUGCCCUGAUGUGGGGGAUAACCAUUGGAAACGAUGGCUAAUACCGCAUGAUGCCUACGGGCCAAAGAGGGGGACCUUCGGGCCUCUCGCGUCAGGAUAUGCCUAGGUGGGAUUAGCUAGUUGGUGAGGUAAGGGCUCACCAAGGCGACGAUCCCUAGCUGGUCUGAGAGGAUGAUCAGCCACACUGGAACUGAGACACGGUCCAGACUCCUACGGGAGGCAGCAGUGGGGAAUAUUGCACAAUGGGCGCAAGCCUGAUGCAGCCAUGCCGCGUGUGUGAAGAAGGCCUUCGGGUUGUAAAGCACUUUCAGUCGUGAGGAAGGU
This 465-nucleotide ribosomal RNA is filed under the name Vibrio alginolyticus. RNAcentral's name for it is "bacterial SSU rRNA". It matches the Rfam family "Bacterial small subunit ribosomal RNA", at positions 1 to 452 of the family's 1533-position model. Lineage: Bacteria; Pseudomonadati; Pseudomonadota; Gammaproteobacteria; Vibrionales; Vibrionaceae. RNAcentral also lists the same sequence under 1 other name. The record is from RNAcentral.